AAAGAAAAUGCACCAGAAGGUCCUACUCAGAAAGGUCUUCGUGAAGCCAGGGAACAAAACAAAUGUAAAACAAAGAUGAAAGGCAAUACAAAGGUCCUCCAGAAAGUUAAAUAGAAGUGGUUAAAUAGUGGUGGUUAUACUAUUUGUGAUUUUAAAGGUGAUGCAUCUGAUGUUUCAACACAAGGAAUGAUAUUUAUUGUCUUUGGUGGUUAUUCUUUAUCAAGUUGAAAAAAUUUGUUUUCCUUUGAUAUUUAAAGUUUGUGUUUUACCAUGAGUAUAUUAAUUUUUUUGACCAUAAGUGAUUGGUAAUUUUAUCAUGUUUAAGUUUUAAGAUUUUAUUUUAUCAUGAAUAAGUAUUGUAUUUUCUGCUUCUGAGACUGUUUU
RNAcentral lists this long non-coding RNA (384 nucleotides) under Homo sapiens (human). RNAcentral's name for it is "HSALNT0308705". Lineage: Eukaryota; Metazoa; Chordata; Mammalia; Primates; Hominidae. The record is from RNAcentral.